This is a long non-coding RNA of Cervus elaphus (red deer), 335 nucleotides long. RefSeq lists it as uncharacterized. NCBI's taxonomy places the organism in Eukaryota, Metazoa, Chordata, Mammalia, Artiodactyla, Cervidae. The record is from RefSeq and is a predicted model, not a curated record. The transcript has 4 exons.
AAAGGAGUAAGAAUGGCUUCUAGAAGCUGGGAAAGGCCACGAUGCGGAUUUUUCCCUAGAACCUUCAGAAAGUAUGUCAUCUUGCCAACUCCUAGUGAGACCCAGAACUGGAAAUAGGACCUGCAAAGUGGAUACCAACCUAGCCUCCACCAUAGAGAGUCCUUGCUUUCAAGGAGCUCAGAAAACUGGGAUUCAGAAGAAGAAGCCACACAUACUUUAUCCAGGUUCUCCUGCCCUCGGACUGGUUCCUGUGGUGAACUCUGCUCUUGAGUCUCUGCUCUGAUUGUCAAUAGGCGGACUACAUGGCAUGAACUGACGUACAAAUUAUCCACUGG